This 252-nucleotide ribosomal RNA is filed under the name uncultured bacterium. Its description in RNAcentral is "partial 16S ribosomal RNA". It matches the Rfam family "Bacterial small subunit ribosomal RNA", at positions 524 to 776 of the family's 1533-position model. The record is from RNAcentral.
UACGGAGGAUGCGAGCGUUAUCCGGAUUUAUUGGGUUUAAAGGGUGCGUAGGCGGGUUAUCAAGUCAGCGGUAAAAUCGUGGAGCUCAACUCCAUCCAGCCGUUGAAACUGAUGAUCUCGAGUGGGCGAGAAGUAUGCGGAAUGCGUGGUGUAGCGGUGAAAUGCAUAGAUAUCACGCAGAACUCCGAUUGCGAAGGCAGCAUACCGGCGCCCGACUGACGCUGAAGCACGAAAGCGUGGGUAUCGAACAGG